This 253-nucleotide ribosomal RNA is filed under the name uncultured bacterium. RNAcentral's name for it is "partial 16S ribosomal RNA". It matches the Rfam family "Bacterial small subunit ribosomal RNA", at positions 524 to 776 of the family's 1533-position model. The record is from RNAcentral.
UACGUAGGGUGCAAGCGUUAAUCGGAAUUACUGGGCGUAAAGCGUGCGCAGGCGGUGAUGUAAGACAGAUGUGAAAUCCCCGGGCUCAACCUGGGAACUGCAUUUGUGACUGCAUCGCUGGAGUACGGCAGAGGGGGAUGGAAUUCCGCGUGUAGCAGUGAAAUGCGUAGAGAUGCGGAGGAACACCGAUGGCGAAGGCAGCCCCCUGGGCUGACACUGACGCUCAGGCACGAAAGCGUGGGGAGCAAACAGG